Molecule: ribosomal RNA, 911 nt
Filed under: uncultured Bacteroidota bacterium
Lineage: Bacteria; Pseudomonadati; Bacteroidota
Description: bacterial SSU rRNA
Rfam family: Bacterial small subunit ribosomal RNA
Source: RNAcentral
AUCAUGGCUCAGGAUGAACGCUAGCUACAGGCUUAACACAUGCAAGUCGAGGGGAAACGACAUCGAAAGCUUGCUUUUGAUGGGCGUCGACCGGCGCACGGGUGAGUAACGCGUAUCCAACCUGCCCACCACUUGGGGAUAACCUUGCGAAAGUAAGACUAAUACCCAAUGACGUCUCUAGAAGACAUCUGAAGGAGAUUAAAGAUUUAUCGGUGAUGGAUGGGGAUGCGUCUGAUUAGCUUGUUGGCGGGGUAACGGCCCACCAAGGCGACGAUCAGUAGGGGUUCUGAGAGGAAGGUCCCCCACAUUGGAACUGAGACACGGUCCAAACUCCUACGGGAGGCAGCAGUGAGGAAUAUUGGUCAAUGGACGAGAGUCUGAACCAGCCAAGUAGCGUGCAGGAUGACGGCCCUAUGGGUUGUAAACUGCUUUUAUAAGGGAAUAAAGUGAGUCUCGUGAGACUUUUUGCAUGUACCUUAUGAAUAAGGACCGGCUAAUUCCGUGCCAGCAGCCGCGGUAAUACGGAAGGUCCGGGCGUUAUCCGGAUUUAUUGGGUUUAAAGGGAGCGUAGGCCGGAGAUUAAGCGUGUUGUGAAAUGUAGACGCUCAACGUCUGCACUGCAGCGCGAACUGGUUUCCUUGAGUACGCACAAAGUGGGCGGAAUUCGUGGUGUAGCGGUGAAAUGCUUAGAUAUCACGAAGAACUCCGAUUGCGAAGGCAGCUCACUGGAGCGCAACUGACGCUGAAGCUCGAAAGUGCGGGUAUCGAACAGGAUUAGAUACCCUGGUAGUCCGCACGGUAAACGAUGGAUGCCCGCUGUUGGUCUGAAUAGGUCAGCGGCCAAGCGAAAGCAUUAAGCAUCCCGCCUGGGGAGUACGCCGGCAACGGUGCAACUCAAAUGAAUUGACGGA